RNAcentral lists this ribosomal RNA (82 nucleotides) under Acidovorax sp. HMWF029. Its description in RNAcentral is "partial 23S ribosomal RNA". The stretch from base 1 to 73 matches the Rfam family "Bacterial large subunit ribosomal RNA", at positions 2853 to 2925 of the family's 2925-position model. Lineage: Bacteria; Pseudomonadati; Pseudomonadota; Betaproteobacteria; Burkholderiales; Comamonadaceae. The record is from RNAcentral.
UUGAUAGGCUGGGUGUGGAAGCGCAGUAAUGCGUUAAGCUAACCAGUACUAAUUGCUCGUGCGGCUUGACCCUAUAACUUUG